This 3330-nucleotide long non-coding RNA is filed under the name Sus scrofa (pig). RNAcentral describes it as "lncRNA (ENSSSCG00015033244.1)". The record is from RNAcentral. Lineage: Eukaryota; Metazoa; Chordata; Mammalia; Artiodactyla; Suidae.
AUGUUAUUUAAUUUCUCUGUACCUCAGUUUUCUUACCUGCAAAGUGGAGAUGAUAAUAGUACCUAUUUUAUGGGUUUUGUGGGGUGUUGAAUAAAUAUAUAUGGAGUGCUUUCAACAUUGUCUGGCAAAGAGCAAGCACUCAAUGAACCUUAGCUACCAUCCUCCUCCUCCUCCUCCUCCUCAUCAUGCUUUUCUACAUCUUACAAAAUAUCUGCAGUAAGUCCAGCUACCUACGCACAAUAUUUUAAAAAAGAAAUAUCACAUAGCUAGGGGAACAUAACCUUUUAGGUCAAUAAAGUGAAACAAAAUUGGGAAGAUGUGUGGUGAGAUACCAUGAAAAGGAGGUUGCUGAUAUAGACACAGGAGGGAUGGGAAAGAAAACAAGGGAAGGAGAAAGAAAAAGAGUUGAAAAGGAGGGGACAGAUGAUGGACUGGCAAGAAUUAGGGAUGGGGAGAGCCAGGCAUAUGUAUUCAAAGUUGCUCCAUGGAACUCGACCUCACUGCUCUAACACCUUGAGGAGGGCACUCACAGAAUUGCAACUGCUCCCCACUCCCUUACCCAGUCUGUAAAGGGGCAGUGGGUGGGCAGGGGGAAGUGAGUAGGAGUAAAAGCAGGAAUCGAAAGGUGAGAAAAUGGAAGCUGAGAAAGGUAAAUUGGCCUGUGAAGGUCCCAGCUGUUGCUGGCAACCCCGGGUCUAGAACUCAGCUUUCAGGAUAUCCAGACCCUUUCCAAAACCCCUCCACCCAACUGACCAAUUUCUGUACCUUGCAGCAUAAAUGUAAAACCUCACCCAAUAAUUUAGAAUCUGCACCUUGGCCAUUAGGAUGGAACAAAGAUGCUGGCCAAAGUUUCCAUCAGUGACCCAUGGAAGUCUGGCAAAAACCCAUAUGUUACCAUCUGCCCUCUACUGCCCUCUUGCCAGCUCCCAAACCUUCUGGUGCUGUUUUCUAGACCUGUCUAGAGAACAGUCAGGGCAGGCACCAAGCCAUUUGCUUCAUCAGUUAAUAAGACAUUGUGUUUGCUGUGCAAAAUGUAAGGGGAAGAAUCCAUUGGGUAUUCAAGUUUUACACCAGCCAGUGGACACGUGCAGUCAGAGUGCCCUGGCUGAGCAAGACUCAGAAACGUCCUCCUCUUCUAAGCUGAUGGGCUUACCAUCUAGAACCAUAGGCUCAAUGAAAAUGCUAUUUUUGCUUUUUGGGGAGGACAUCUAUAGAAUAUUUGGUACUAUAAUUUGCAAACAGUGGUCAGACUUAAGUAUAUAUUUAAUAUGUGGGGAUAGCUCUGUGUUAUUUUUUUCUGCCACUCAUGCUGGCUCAAACAUGUGCCCUGUAAGGGAAACUUUCAUUUGUUUGCAUGUGUUUUGGUUUGUAAAAGGUGGGAGUAAGCCCUGCAAGUCAACCUCUGUCAUCAUACAAGGGGCAUUCCAGGGGCCUCCUUACCAGGCUACCUUGGAGAUGUCCAGACCCAAGAUGCUCAGUCUAACUUUGAUCAGAGUCAGUUUAAUACAAGGAACAGGGAGAAUGUAGAAUUGACAUCCAUUAAUUAAGACUAUUUAAUGAUAUUUUCUAAGGAAAAAGGUGUGAGUUGUGUCAUCUGCUAUCUGGCAGCCACCAAAACCAAACCCCCACCCCAGCAGUGAACAAAGAUUGGCACCCAGGGAAGAUCAUGGGAUGGUAUCUCUUGCCAUACUUGGGCUGGUAUGGAGUCUGAGACACUGUUUCUUAAAAUACCACAUUCUUUGAGAGGAGGGUUAGUGUAAAAAUCAGGGCCCCCUGAAUCGGUCUAAUUUAUGCUUCUAGGAGUAUUAUUCUCUUCUAAUGCCAAAGCUUCACGACACCUGAGAAAAUAAAUAGGAAUGUCUUUGUGGUUGUGAACUUGAAGUGAAUGACAAUUUUGAGAGACAUACGAAAAUUUUAUUUCCUUAUUUUCCUCAUUCCUCUUAAGAUUGUGGUCUGAACUUGCUCACGUCUAAGACCUUUCUCAGAGGGCUUCUGGGAGCCUCCUCUCCCUUUGUUCCCUCUCGUCGGCGGGGAGUCACUGUGGAGCGAUACAGCUCAACACCAGCAGAUGGCAUGUGGCGUCAGGUUCCCGGCACUUGAACCUGGGAAAGCCAUCUUUUCUCAAUGGAGAAAUUCUAACUUUUAGUUAGGAAUUAAAAGUGAAAUUGUUUUAGCCAUUAGAUGCUGCGUUUGAUCAUCUAGCUGUGUCUUUCUAUGCCAUCUAGUUCAUCUGGGGUGGAAACAAGACCAAUAACUAAGACACUGUUUCAUUCAUUUCUUAAACUAGAAAUGGAUACGGCUCACCCUGUUCCGUGAUUGUCCAGGACAUUCUGGGAACCUCAUAGGAUGCUGAGGAAUGAAAUAACACGACCAGCAAAAAAUAUAUUCUGGGAAGAAGAAAAGAGAAUUUGAACACCUUCCCGGUGUGUUCUGAGCAUAGAAGCAGGUGCCCUUACCACCCUUGCCAUUCUCCUUUCCCAGCCCAGCAAAGAUGCCUGGGGUCAAAGCGGAAUGUCGUAGAAAGGCUGCUCCUGGAGUAUCGUUAGAGAUGGCCAAAAACAUCACUUGGGGUUUUUUGAAGAUAGGUUAUUUUCACAGUUAGCAAUAAGAAUUUAACUUGAUCUCUUGUUUUCUGGCCAGCAUUUUGGCACCCCCUCCUCUAGGCCUUGUAUCCCCAGCCUGGAACCUCUGUAGAGAAGAAACUUCUAGUCUUGUAAGGGAAGAAGAGGGAAGAAGGGACAGGUGUAAAUGCUUGGCUUCAUGGGUGUGGAUGAAGGAACACAGAGGGCUACCUUCCAAAGAUCUUCAACCAAACCAUGUUUCAGCCUCCUGCUCCACCCUCACUUUCUAGAGUACACAGUAUCCCUAAGGCCUGACUCUUUCAGGAGCUCUUAGGAGAAAAUCACUCAUUAGAAAAAAGUCUUCUUUAGCAGGUACCUACCAUUCUCCGUGUUCAUAGCUUCCCACGUGGUUACUUCCCCAAGGAAGCGUUUCCUAGCAUCUCUCACAGGUAGGGAGCAGACAUGUGACCUAAGAUUUCACCAGUCAACCACAGCCCCUGAAAUGAGGAAACAGAUGAGGUUUUGAGCACUGUGCAUCUGAGUGGCAGAUGAAAGUGGCAGCAAAGAGUGGUGGUAGCAACAGCAUCCUCAUUAGGACACCUCUGUGGGACCUUCUGAGCUGUACUCCUAGGAGCCUAGCCUUGAGCCUCUUUUUCUCUAGACCUCCCACUGAGUCACCGAGCUGCUAAUAUCUCUUAAUGAAUGCUGCUUAAACCAGCAUGAGUGGAUUCUAUGGUUUGCAACUAACAGAAGAUAUGGAAAGAAAAAA